AGUUAAUGAACUUGAAUAAGUAUAUAUUUUGAAAAUAUAAAAUAGAGAAUCUCUAUUAACUU
This 62-nucleotide transfer RNA is filed under the name Staphylinoidea sp. 12 KM-2017. Its description in RNAcentral is "tRNA-Ser". The record is from RNAcentral. Lineage: Eukaryota; Metazoa; Arthropoda; Insecta; Coleoptera.